UUUUAUGCCAACUGCGAGGGAAUAAACAGUCUCAUCAGCCCAUCUGCAGCUGUGCCUUUGCCACCUUCUGCCCCCAAGGGGGCCUUUGUACAACUGUCACCCCGCAGGAACCUAUGAAAAGCAUUUUUCAUCCCAGACUUGGCCCCAGGUGGACGCACCUUUUCCCUGAUAUUUCACCUCAUGGAACUCCUCUCCCUCUGGUCCAGGGCAGGACUUUCGCACAGUCCAUUCUGCCACACAAGCACCUUUAUGAAGCCAGAAGGAAAAGCCAGGAUGUGCGUGAUGAGUAGGCGAUUUGUGUGGGUCAGAUUUUCUGCACUGUGGCUGCUGACAAACAUGAUCAUGCCAAGCAGGCCACAAAAGCGGUGAAGAUUGUGUACCAAGACGUGGAGCCUAUAAUUGUGAACAUUCAGAUCUGGCUGCCCAAUCCAUUUUAUUCUGGAACAUGGGGACAACAUGUUGAUAACUGGAGGAUGGCACCCACUACCUGGGACAUAUAAGAAUACUUGCCAGACCCUCGUGGAAUGCCUUGAACCUAUUAUCAGAUGGAGUGCUAGUGGCACCUGGGAGAAGUGUGUUAAUGAAGCUUUUGCUCAAAGCAUUAGUCUCUCUGCCACUGGAUAUUUUAGGACUGACAACAGGUGCUGGCUGCAGCCUGGCCCAGAUGCAGGACAUCUUGGCUGAGAGGGUAGUUGAGCUCCCAGAGGAGAAAACACAGACGUACCGAGCCCUCCUGAAGCACCUGAGGAGU
RNAcentral lists this small RNA (751 nucleotides) under Pongo abelii (Sumatran orangutan). RNAcentral's name for it is "processed transcript". The record is from RNAcentral. Lineage: Eukaryota; Metazoa; Chordata; Mammalia; Primates; Hominidae.